UAUUUUUCGCAGCUCUCUACUCUUUCCUUCUUCAUUAAGCUUCUUCAUCUUCCUCAAGAGUUUCUCCUUCCUAAACCCUAGCUCCUAAUGUUGGUUGGUGAGGUUAUGGACUAAGAAGGUAGGGAUGGCGGUGAAAUAGGUUGGGAGUGAAGCUUAAGGAUGGAUUUUUGGGGUUUAAGCUUUGGAGAAACAAUGGAUGAUAUAAGGCAACAAAAAUCCAUAUGGUGCAAAUUCAAUGAUGAUGCCGGGUUGGUUUGGGUCACGAUGAGGAGUUCCCCAUUUGAAAGAGGGUGAUGCUCGGCCGCAAGGAGGGAGACCAAGAUGGGCGGCGCCACCAAAUUCUAAGAUGGGUCAUUGGUUGAUUCUCUUGAAGAAGAUUGCUCAGUCUCAUAAUUUGCUUCCUGAGUUUGAUAUAUGUAGAAGAAGUGUGUUGAAAAAGAUUUUGGGGUAUUUUCUAAAUAGUUGUUAGAGUUGAUUGGGUUAGUGUGGUUUUUUAUUCUAUCAGAUUUCUAUUUUUUUUUAUUUAUUAAAAUGCAUCUUAUUAUUUAUAUACACAAGAACUGUUGUCCAUUGUCACAUUCUUAGUGGCAUUUUUUUAAUCAAUUCCUUUUAACUUUUUUAAUCUUCUAGGCGUAGAAGUUUAUUUGCAGAUGUAGAAAAUUGUAACUUUACUAUUUCUUAUGAAGAGAUAGUUAAACUGGCAGAUUAUGAAGAGA
Long non-coding RNA from Ipomoea triloba (trilobed morning glory), 716 nucleotides. RefSeq lists it as uncharacterized. The record is from RefSeq and is a predicted model, not a curated record. The transcript is spliced from 4 exons. NCBI's taxonomy places the organism in Eukaryota, Viridiplantae, Streptophyta, Magnoliopsida, Solanales, Convolvulaceae.